RNAcentral lists this ribosomal RNA (169 nucleotides) under uncultured bacterium. RNAcentral's name for it is "partial 16S ribosomal RNA". It matches the Rfam family "Bacterial small subunit ribosomal RNA", at positions 338 to 524 of the family's 1533-position model. The record is from RNAcentral.
CCUACGGGAGGCAGCAGUGGGGAAUUUUCCGCAAUGGGGGAAACCCUGACGCAGCAACGCCACGUGGAGGAUGAAGUCCCUUGGGACGUAAACUCCUUUCGACCGGGACGAUAAUGACGGUACCGGGAGAAGAAGCCCCGGCUAACUCCGUGCCAGCAGCCGCGGUAAU